GAUGAACGCUGGCGGCGUGCCUAAUACAUGCAAGUCGAGCGAACAGACGAGGAGCUUGCUCCUCUGACGUUAGCGGCGGACGGGUGAGUAACACGUGGAUAACCUACCUAUAAGACUGGGAUAACUUCGGGAAACCGGAGCUAAUACCGGAUAAUAUAUUGAACCGCAUGGUUCAAUAGUGAAAGACGGUUUUGCUGUCACUUAUAGAUGGAUCCGCGCCGCAUUAGCUAGUUGGUAAGGUAACGGCUUACCAAGGCAACGAUGCGUAGCCGACCUGAGAGGGGGAUAGGCCACACUGGAAGUGAGACACGGUCCAGACUCCUACGGGAGGCAGCAGUAGGGAAUCGUCCGCAAUGGGCGAAAGCCUGACGGAGCAACGCCGCGUGAGUGAUGAAGGUCUUCGGAGCGUAAAACUCUGUUAUUAGGGAAGAACAAAUGUGUAAGUAACUAUGCACGUCUUGACGGUACCUAAUCAGAAAGCCACGGCUAACUACGUG
This 497-nucleotide ribosomal RNA is filed under the name uncultured bacterium. RNAcentral describes it as "partial 16S ribosomal RNA". It matches the Rfam family "Bacterial small subunit ribosomal RNA", at positions 28 to 507 of the family's 1533-position model. The record is from RNAcentral.